UUCUCCAAACAGUUGGAACAUUUGCCCACUGCCCCUUGUCUGUAUUUGUUGUGGACAUCGUGGAGGAGCAUGACAGGGACUAUCUCUGACUGAUCUUUGCAGCCUUCGUGCACCAACUGGUGGCCUGCACACUCUGGGUGCUCCAUAUACUUGGUGGUGGGAUGCCAAGGAUCCAGCCCAGGGUGGAAAUCUCCACCAGCGCUGGAGUGCACGUUCUGUUCCAGCCACCGCUCCAGCUCCUACGUGCAUGGACUGAUUUCACCCCACAACAGUCCUGUGAGGCAGGUUGCAUGGAGCUAAGAGACAACUGCCUUUUAUACAACAUCUUCCGCUGGGAAUCGGCCCGGCCCAGCACAAAAUUAGCUGGUGUCUUACGGCUCCUGGAUUACGCAGGCAGAGAUUUUGAUUGAAUCUGGCAACCAGA
Herpailurus yagouaroundi (jaguarundi) is the source of this 424-nucleotide long non-coding RNA. RefSeq lists it as uncharacterized. Lineage: Eukaryota; Metazoa; Chordata; Mammalia; Carnivora; Felidae. The record is from RefSeq and is a predicted model, not a curated record. The transcript has 2 exons.